UGUGUGUGUUGGGGGGGGGGCGUGUCACUCUGUGUCAACACUUCCAUCUUAGAAGGUGUGAAAAUCGGUUUGAACUUGUCUCCCAAGCUUUUUUCAUUCUUCAUGAUAAUAGAUAACAGAUUUUUGUCAGCUCUGUACAUGAACAAACAUACUCACAGUGGACAGUGUCUCUCUCAGCUCCUGCCGGGUCACUGACGUCCCACUCUGAGUCUCAGACACUGAGGUGGACCUGGGACCUGAGAUGGAAACUCUCAUGAUCAGAGUUAGUUCAGUCAAAUCUGAGUGUUCACUCUGAAUGACAAUCAUCCACGUCAAAGAACGUCCACUAAAGUUUCACCACUGACAAGUUCAGGUUAUUAUUCAGUGUCAGAGCUGUCUCUGUCCUACAGAGAGCUUUUUAUUAACGACGAAGAUCCAGAAACAUCUCUAUAUCUCACUACCAGACUCCACUGACAAAGCUGCUGGAGUACUACUGCCUCCAUCUGUUAGUCUGUAAAAUUACUGUUUUUGUCAAUGGAGUCUGGUUAAAAAAUAACAUUCAGGGUGUUACUGAGAUGUGGUGUUCACAAGAAUGGGACGAACAGACAACCUGAAAAUAUAACGAAACGUAAACAAAACAACAUAAAAAGCAGCCAGUGAGCGGGUCAGCUUCAGAGAGCGAGAGUCAUCUCAGUUUCUGAAACUGUUUCCCCUCAAAUCAGAGUGAACAAAGCCUCGAGUUUCCAUUAAACCCACUUUGUGGAACUGACCUCAGGACGUCAGGAUGCAGGAGAGUCUGAUAACUGCUGCCAUUUACAGCUCCACAGUAAAGGUUAUCACACACACUUACUGCCUUUAUUUAAUAAAGUAAGACAUGAUUCAAACAGAAACAUAAAAGAUGAUAUAUGAUGAGUUAGAAGACAAACAGGAGCUGAGUUUUAGCUUCCACGUUUAAAAAGAAACAAACAUUUUACAAGUGAUUUCAUCAACUGACAAUCUGACCCUGAUUAAAUGAUUAUUUUCUAAAGGUAUUAUAAUUCAAAGUGCAAAUGUCACUGUUAAAAACACAUUAAACAA
This is a long non-coding RNA of Lates calcarifer (barramundi perch), 1056 nucleotides long. RefSeq lists it as uncharacterized. The transcript has 2 exons. The record is from RefSeq and is a predicted model, not a curated record. Lineage: Eukaryota; Metazoa; Chordata; Actinopteri; Centropomidae.